CUGUGGCUCAAUGAUGACUAUACUUUUUUCCCCAUCGGAUCGGCCAUGUCGACAUGCUAUAUUUUAAGCCAAAAAUGUCUGAUGGUGACAG
Molecule: small nucleolar RNA, 91 nt
Organism: Carcharodon carcharias (great white shark)
Lineage: Eukaryota; Metazoa; Chordata; Chondrichthyes; Lamniformes; Lamnidae
Product: small nucleolar SNORD12/SNORD106
Exons: 1
Source: RefSeq, a predicted model, not a curated record